GGUGGAUGCUAUGUGUGUGCAUUCUUUCUAUAUCGAUUAGCGAAGAUCGUAAUGGCGGCUGAGACGCAGAGCAGGUCUGGCCCGUUCAUGCCACCACCGGGUGGCUAGCAGCGUCAUGCACCAAGUGCACCGGCUCAUCCAGGCUGGGUACCUUAUGGCCCUGCUGACAAGUGUUUCGGAAAAGCUUUUGGUGAUCCUCACCACAGGGAGGGCAGGACGUGACGCCCAGGACAAGGGACCUCAUAUUUUUGAAGACUGGGAAUACAUCACUAACUGCAGCGUUUCCAGGAGCUUUAAGAACCGUACAGCAAAAGCCUUUUCUUCAUGAAUUUUUCUCAGGAUCUGAUGCCUGCAAACUCAAGGCAUAAUUUAAAUAAACUGCAAUGGCCUG
Molecule: long non-coding RNA, 391 nt
Organism: Dermacentor silvarum
Lineage: Eukaryota; Metazoa; Arthropoda; Arachnida; Ixodida; Ixodidae
Exons: 3
Source: RefSeq, a predicted model, not a curated record